Molecule: ribosomal RNA, 400 nt
Filed under: phytoplankton environmental sample
Lineage: Eukaryota
Description: partial small subunit ribosomal RNA
Rfam family: Eukaryotic small subunit ribosomal RNA
Source: RNAcentral
AGCUCCAAUAGCGUAUAUUAAAGUUGUUGCAGUUAAAAAGCUCGUAGUUGGAUUUCUGGUACGGUGUACCUGGUCCGCCCCUUUAUGGUGUGUGUGUACCGGAGUGCGCCUGCCAUCCUUCCGGGGAGCGCUGUCUACCCUUCACUGGGCCGGACUCGUGACCCGGAUCGUUUACUUUGAAAAAAUUAGAGUGUUCAAAGCAGGCUUAUCGCCUUGAAUACAUUAGCAUGGAAUAAUAAGAUAGGACUCUGGUCCUAUUUUGUUGGUUUCUAGGACUGUAGUAAUGAUUGAUAGGGACAGUUGGGGGUGUCUGUACUUUACGGCCAGAGGUGAAAUUCUUGGAUUCGUAAAAGACAAACUACUGCGAAAGCAUUCACCAAGGAUGUCUUCUUUAAUCAAG